RNAcentral lists this ribosomal RNA (508 nucleotides) under uncultured bacterium. RNAcentral describes it as "partial 16S ribosomal RNA". The stretch from base 20 to 331 matches the Rfam family "Bacterial small subunit ribosomal RNA", at positions 47 to 358 of the family's 1533-position model. The record is from RNAcentral.
GACGAACGCUGGCGGCGUGCUUAACACAUGCAAGUCGAACGGAAAGGCCCUGCUUUUGUGGGGUGCUCGAGUGGCGAACGGGUGAGUAACACGUGAGUAACCUGCCCUUGACUUUGGGAUAACUUCAGGAAACUGGGGCUAAUACCGGAUAGGAGCUCCUGCUGCAUGGUGGGGGUUGGAAAGUUUCGGCGGUUGGGGAUGGACUCGCGGCUUAUCAGCUUGUUGGUGGGGUAGUGGCUUACCAAGGCUUUGACGGGUAGCCGGCCUGGGAGGGUGCCCGGGCGCGGGGUGCGGGGGGUACGGCCCGGAGCGCUGGGGGAGGACGCGUGGGGGAAGGUGGGACGGUGGAGGGAACCGGGGGCGGCGGCGGCGGGGGGGGGGCUGCGGGCCUGCGUGUUGUCGACGGCUGCCGCGGGUGAGGAAGGGGGGGGGCAGGGAAGGGGAAAGGAAGCGCGGGUUACGUCCGGGCAAGGAGGGGCGGUAUACUCGGAAGCGCCCACGUCUGACC